This 465-nucleotide ribosomal RNA is filed under the name uncultured bacterium. RNAcentral describes it as "partial 16S ribosomal RNA". It matches the Rfam family "Bacterial small subunit ribosomal RNA", at positions 28 to 507 of the family's 1533-position model. The record is from RNAcentral.
GACGAACGCUGGCGGCGUGCUUAACACAUGCAAGUCGAACGGAAAGGCCCUGCUUGCAGGGUACUCGAGUGGCGAACGGGUGAGUAAAACGUGGGUGAUCUGCCCUGCACUUCGGGAUAAGCCUGGGAAACUGGGGCUAAUACCGGAUAGGAGCCAUCUUUAGUGUGAUGGUUGGAAAGUUUUUUCGGUGUAGGAUGAGCUCGCGGCCUAUCAGCUUGUUGGUGGGGUAAUGGCCUACCAAGGCGGCGGCGGGUAGCCGGCCUGAGAGGGUGGACGGCCACAUUGGGACUGAGAUACGGCCCAGACUCCUACGGGAGGCAGCAGUGGGGAAUAUUGCACAAUGGGCGCAAGCCUGAUGCAGCGACGCCGCGUGGGGGAUGACGGCCUUCGGGUUGUAAACUCCUUUCGCUAGGGACGAAGCUUUUUGUGACGGUACCUAGAGAAGAAGCACCGGCUAACUACGUG